CCGACGGUGAGGGGCGAAGGCUGGGGGCGCAAACCGGAUUAGAUACCCGGGUAGUCCCAGCAGUAAACGAUGCCAGCUAUGUGUUGCUGGAACCAUGGGUUCCAGCAGUGCCGAAGGGAAGCCGUGAAGCUGGCCACCUGGGAAGUACGGUCGCAAGGCUGAAACUUAAAGGAAUUGGCGGGGGAGUACCACAACCGGUGGAGCCUGCGGUUUAAUUGGAUACAACGCCGGGAAUCUUACCGGAGGGGACAGCAGUAUGAAGGCCAGGCUAAAGACCUUGCCAGAUCAGCUGAGAGGAGGUGCAUGGCCGUCGCCAGUUCGUACCGUGAGGCAUCCUGUUUAGUCAGGCAACGAUCGAGACCCGCAGUCUUAUUUGCCAGCAUGCCCUUUGGGGUGUAUGGGUACAAUAAGACGACCGCCAGCGCUAAGCUGGAGGAAGGAGCGGGCUACGGUAGGUCAGCAUGCCCCGAAUCCUCCGGGAUACACGCGGGCUACAAUGGUCAGGACAAAAGGUACCGACCUCGAAAGAGUGAGGUAAUCCACAAACCUGAUCUCAGUCCGGAUCGAAGGCUGCAACUCGCCUUCGUGAAGAUGGAAUCGGUAGUAAUCGUGACUCAAAAUGUCACGGUGAAUAUGUCCCUGCUCCUU
Molecule: ribosomal RNA, 648 nt
Filed under: uncultured archaeon
Lineage: Archaea
Description: bacterial SSU rRNA
Rfam family: Archaeal small subunit ribosomal RNA
Source: RNAcentral